AGAGUUUGAUCCUGGCUCAGAUUGAACGCUGGCGGCAUGCCUUACACAUGCAAGUCGAACGGUAACGCGGGGCAACCUGGCGACGAGUGGCGAACGGGUGAGUAAUAUAUCGGAACGUGCCCAGUAGUGGGGGAUAGCCCGGCGAAAGCCGGAUUAAUACCGCAUACGACCUACGGGUGAAAGCGGGGGAUCGCAAGACCUCGCGCCAUUGGAGCGGCCGAUAUCAGAUUAGGUAGUUGGUGGGGUAAAAGCCUACCAAGCCGACGAUCUGUAGCUGGUCUGAGAGGACGACCAGCCACACUGGGACUGAGACACGGCCCAGACUCCUACGGGAGGCAGCAGUGGGGAAUUUUGGACAAUGGGCGCAAGCCUGAUCCAGCCAUGCCGCGUGCGGGAAGAAGGCCUUCGGGUUGUAAACCGCUUUUGUCAGGGAAGAAAUGUCCUGGGCUAAUACCCCGGGAAAAUGACGGUACCUGAAGAAUAAGCACCGGCUAACUACGUGCCAGCAGCCGCGGUAAUACGUAGGGUGCAAGCGUUAAUCGGAAUUACCGGGCGUAAAGCGUGCGCAGGCGGUCUUGCAAGACAGAUGUGAAAUCCCCGGGCUUAACCUGGGAACUGCAUUUGUGACUGCAAGGCUGGAGUACGGUAGAGGGGGAUGGAAUUCCGCGUGUAGCAGUGAAAUGCGUAGAUAUGCGGAGGAACACCGAUGGCGAAGGCAAUCCCCUGGACCUGUACUGACGCUCAUGCACGAAAGCGUNNNGAGCAAACAGGAUUAGAUACCCUGGUAGUCCACGCCCU
Molecule: ribosomal RNA, 798 nt
Filed under: uncultured bacterium
Lineage: Bacteria
Description: bacterial SSU rRNA
Rfam family: Bacterial small subunit ribosomal RNA
Source: RNAcentral